Molecule: ribosomal RNA, 387 nt
Filed under: Choanoflagellata sp.
Lineage: Eukaryota; Choanoflagellata
Description: partial small subunit ribosomal RNA
Rfam family: Eukaryotic small subunit ribosomal RNA
Source: RNAcentral
AUUCCAGCUCCAAUAGCGUAUAUUAAAGUUGUUGCAGUUAAAAAGCUCGUAGUUGGAUUUCUGGUGUUUCCAUUGUGUCUUCCGAGAGGAAUGAACACUUUUGUUAACACCAUCUUCUCGGAGACUCUUCGUGCUCUUAACUGAGUGUGGAGAGGAUUCGGGACCUUUACUUUGAAAAAAUUAGAGUGUUCAAAGCAGGCCAUCGCUUGAAUACAUUAGCAUGGAAUAAUGGAAUAGGACUUUGGUUCUAUUUUGUUGGUUUCUAGGACUAAAGUAAUGAUUAAUAGGGACAGUUGGGGGCAUUAGUAUUUAAUUGUCAGAGGUGAAAUUCUUGGAUUUAUGAAAGACUAACUUCUGCGAAAGCAUUUGCCAAGGAUGUUUUCAUUA